UUAAAAUUAAAAAAUAAUAAAAAUGAAUAAAAACUAAAACUAACACAAAAAGCUCUCAGGAGAUUGAAGUCUGCUGAUGGUCAGUCUUGGUAUCCUGGUGAGAGUGUCAGAGGGGGACAGGCCGGUGCAGUGACCGCCCACAGGUGCACCGGCUAGGGGAACCUUUCCUGUCACCCAUGUGGCUUCACUCUGACAUUCUUCAUUCUGCAGGGCCAUACGGGUCCACUUGUCUUUACACACCCAAACACAUUCACCUAAAGCCACCCGGUCAUUAAAAUCCCUUUAUAUCAACAAAACAGAACAUACAACAAGUUUACAGAUUUUAGGACCACAUAAUUAUGGCAUCUAAUUUACAAAGCCUCUAAGCCAAGUUUUCUAUUGUUGCACAAACCACUGGCAGUCCUGAUGACAUUAUAUACAGUUCUGUGUGGUCUUUACUGAUUUCCCGCCCCACCUCACCCUCAAACAAAGGCAACUACAACCAACGUACAAAAAGACAAAAAACUAGGGAACUACCUCAUGCCAGAACCAUCAAGGGCUGUUUGCUAAAUUAGUGACCAGGAGGACCCAAAGAAUAGGUGACAUUGGAGUCAACUCACAGCUCCCUGCCAGACGCCUGGGCUCCGCUCCUUCCUCAGAAAGGGCAGGAGAGGAAACCGCCUCCGGGUCGGGGCUGCCGGAUCCUUCCAGCAGCAGGAAGUGGGCGGAGCAAGUGCACCCGGGAACCAGAGGCGAUCUUGCAAUUCCGGGGGCUAAGGCCCUCGGUGCACAAAGGCUCUGCGCCCGAGGGGAGACGCGUGACCGUGACUACCCUCUGACAUUUUCCCCCAGCUGCUUCGCUAGAGAUGGAAAAUUGACAGGGACCAACUUUGCAACAAUGUGUCAGUGUGACGGAGCCGAGCAAAUACUGCGGAUUCUGCAGACCAGCUUGAGCGCUGCCUCGUGGCCCAGUGCCCCGAGGAUGCAGGGUGUUGAAGAAGCCUUGCUUCCUCCGCCCAGAGCCGCAAAACUGAGAGCAGGGCCAAAGAGGACGCUUCUGGGACCCCGCCACCGGUGCUGGGGUCCCCGCGCUGGCUGUCACCUGGCCUUGAGUCUGCAAGGUGGAUUUAAAGCUCCCAGCCCUCCGGCACCCGCCCAACGGAAGCUGCAGAGGCCGCCGAGCAGGGGCUGAGACAGACCAGCUCCCCCACUGGACGGAGACAGCUUUGGCUGUCUCUGGAGCUACGUUUCCUCCGAGCCUUCGGAAACCAGCGGAGAAGUCAGCUCACCUGAUAAGCUUUUGGAGGUGCACUCAGCACGUCUGAGCUAGGUUGUGUCUUCCUGCUUUUAUGUUGCCACGCCUGGUAAUCUACGAUGGGAACCAGACAUCGUGGAUGACACCGAGGUGGGUGCUGAGUGUCUUCAUCUUCCUCUACCAGAUUUUUGAGCUUUUGUCCGAGCUACAGUUAUCUUGCAGAGAAAUAGUUCGAUCCUUUUAGGUCUUGCGUCGUCAUUUGUCAAAGGGCCCCCCAGCGCUUCCUCUGGAGCCGCUGGAGAAAGAAGGCGGUGGGCAUUCUGCCCAACUGCCUCUGAAUUGUCAGUGUUUUCAGUCUGCCUUGUGGCAACAGACUCUGUCUCCGAUUCUUUGCAAGUCCUCGAUUCUGUUCUUUGAUCUUUUCCAGUGAUUUUCCCCACCACGGGCUCAGAUGAUGUCUUCACGCACGUGCCCCGCAAAUAACCGGGUUUCCUCUGUAUGUCGUUGCCUUUAUUGGGUGCUCUUUCCUGCCUCACACUCUCCCGGCUUUUAGAUUUGUCUCCUCAGUUCUGUUUCUGCUGAGUUCCCUCUUCUUGCGCCCUGCCCUAGACCUCCAGGUUGUGGUCCCUCCUUGCCUUCUCCCUGUUGGUGUUUAGUGUUUUCUCUCCUUUUGGAAGCUUGCACCCAACCCAGGCCCCUGUCCUGAUGCACUCGAUGGGAGACAAAACCCACAGCGGUGGCUUGCUCUCUGCGCGUCUUUCUUUCAUC
This is a long non-coding RNA of Lynx canadensis (Canada lynx), 2002 nucleotides long. RefSeq lists it as uncharacterized. The record is from RefSeq and is a predicted model, not a curated record. Lineage: Eukaryota; Metazoa; Chordata; Mammalia; Carnivora; Felidae. The transcript is spliced from 3 exons.